AUUGAACGCUGGCGGCAGGCUUAACACAUGCAAGUCGAGCGAGCGGCGGACGGGUGAGUAAUGUCUGGGACACUGCUUUAUGGCUGGGGAUACCUCCUGGAACCGGUACCUAAUCCCGCAUACCAUCCGAUGUGCCCAGAUGGGAUUAGCCAGUAGGUGGGGUAAUGGCUCACCUAGGCCCCGAUCCAUGGCUGGGCUGCGAGGGUGACCAGCCACACUGGAACUGAGACACGGUCCAGACUCCUACGGGAGGCAGCAGUGGGGAAUAUUGCACAAUGGGCGAAAGCCUGAUGGAGCCAUGCCGCGUGUGUGAAGAAGGUCUUCGGGUUGUAAAGCACUGUCAGCGAGGAGGCGUUACUCGCAGAAGAAGCACCGGCUAACUACGUGCCAGCAGCCGCGGUAAUAC
This 406-nucleotide ribosomal RNA is filed under the name uncultured bacterium. RNAcentral describes it as "partial 16S ribosomal RNA". It matches the Rfam family "Bacterial small subunit ribosomal RNA", at positions 30 to 526 of the family's 1533-position model. The record is from RNAcentral.